GACGAACGCUGGCGGCGUGCCUAAUACAUGCAAGUAGAGCGCACAGUUUAUACCGUAGCUUGCUACACCAUAGACUGUGAGUUGCGAACGGGUGAGUAACGCGUAGGUAACCUGCCUGGUAGCGGGGGAUAACUAUUGGAAACGAUAGCUAAUACCGCAUAAUAUUAAUUAUUGCAUGAUAAUUAAUUGAAAGGUGCAAUUGCACCACUACCAGAUGGACCUGCGUUGUAUUAGCUAGUAGGUGAGGUAACGGCUCACCUAGGCGACGAUACAUAGCCGACCUGAGAGGGUGAUCGGCCACACUGGGACUGAGACACGGCCCAGACUCCUACGGGAGGCAGCAGUAGGGAAUCUUCGGCAAUGGACGAAAGUCUGACCGAGCAACGCCGCGUGAGUGAAGAAGGUUUUCGGAUCGUAAAGCUCUGUUGUAAGAGAAGAACGGGUGUGAGAGUGGAAAGUUCACACUGUGACGGUAUCUUACCAGAAAGAGACGGCUAACUACGUG
Molecule: ribosomal RNA, 505 nt
Filed under: uncultured bacterium
Lineage: Bacteria
Description: partial 16S ribosomal RNA
Rfam family: Bacterial small subunit ribosomal RNA
Source: RNAcentral